UGGAUGCUAUGUGCUCUGGUGUGAUUUCUUGGCAGGUAAUUUGGUGGUGAGGUGUAAUAGUUCUCAUGUAGUUUCUAGACAAUGUCAGCCAACAGACAGUCCUCAUACUAAUAUCUCUCACUCUUGAUAAUCUGUUUGGUUUCAGAUAGCAAUCAUAAUUAUCUGCAAAUAACUGAUGUUUUUUAUAAAGUUUUUAGUUUAGCUGCUGAGUCGAAAACAAAUCUGGAAGAAAAGCUGCUUUGCUUUGAAGCAAAUCUUACCUGUUUCUUUUCUCAUCCAAACAAAAAAGGGGAAAAUUGAAGAAAACAUUUAAUUCAACCUUAAAUGAGCACAAAAAGAUGACUGCUGAUUCCUUACUUCCUGUGCUUAAGAGAACUGGAAGCUGCAUCUCUCAGGAAAAUUGUCUCAAAUACCAGCAUACCUUACGGCGUGCACCUCGUGUUCUAACCGACCAGAGCUCCGUGGACAUCGAGGGAGCUCGCCUUGCUUCUACCAGAACCAGCUGUCCUUCUGUGGUUAUCGUCUUUUCCUAACUCUGAGAGCUGUCUGUUCCCCUCAGCGUCCAGGGCGCGCCUCACCUCGCUUCUCUCAGGCGCUGACCGCGCGGCCAUGCGCCGUGGGCGGCGCCCCCCGCCCCGCAGAGGCAGCCUGGCCCUCUGCCCUCGCACAAAAUGGCGGCUGCCCCCUCCCCCGACCCCCCACGCCUCGGAGUCGUGCCCUCGCACAAAAGGGAGGUCGCUCCCCUGCCUAGUGCCAGCGGUGAGUGAAGGUACUUUUUCCUUCUGCUUUUUUUUAAAAUAAUUUUGAUAUUCAAGUAUGAUAUCAGUCAAAAAUAGUGUAAUUUUUAUGUUUGGGCUCUGUUACUGCAUGAUAAAGUCCUUAGCUGGUUCUGGGCAGAGAAUGUUCUGGAAAACAUGAAGGCUGGGGGAGGGCGCGGGGGGAUUCUGCUUUGCUCUUACGUUUUCUCCCCACCACAAAUGGGAUGGAGGGGGAAGCAUUUAUAGCAGGCAUUUGCAUGUUUAAACUGAAUUUCCAUUUGCUCCUUUAAAGCCUUCUAGAAAGUAUGGCUAGGUAUAUUUUAUUUUAGAAACUGUAUGAUCAUGUACUCCUAGUUGUGACAAAUGAGCUCAGGAUUUAAAAUGGA
This 1144-nucleotide long non-coding RNA is filed under the name Dromaius novaehollandiae (emu). RNAcentral describes it as "lncRNA (ENSDNVG00000010114.1)". The record is from RNAcentral. Lineage: Eukaryota; Metazoa; Chordata; Aves; Casuariiformes; Dromaiidae.